AGAGUUUGAUCCUGGCUCAGAACGAACGUUGGCGGCAUGGAUUAGGCAUGCAAGUUGUGCGAAUCCCAGCAAUGGGGGAAGCAGCGUAAGGGGCAGUAAUGCGUGGGUAUUUACCCUGGGGUCUGGCAUAGCCCUUCGAAAGAAGGGGUAAUUCCAGAUGAUGUCGAGAGACCAAAGGUCCGCCGCCCUGGGAGAAGCCCACGUGAUAUUACCUAGUUGGCGGGGUAACGGCCCACCAAGGGGAAGAUGUCUAGCGGGUGUGAGAGCACGACCCGCGCCACUGGCACUGAGACACUGGCCAGACACCUACGGGUGGCUGCAGUCGAGGAUCUUCGUCAAUGGGGGCAACCCUGAACGAGCGAUGCCGCGUGUGCGAUGAAGGCCUUCGGGCUGUAAAGCACUGUCGAGGGGGAGAAAGGGAAACUUGAUCUAUCCCUGGAGGAAGCUCGGGCUAAGUUCGUGCCAGCAGCCGCGGUAAGACGAACCGAGCGAACGUUGUUCGGAAUCACUGGGCUUAAAGGGCGCGUAGGCGGGCUGCCAAGUCUGUGGUGAAAUCCUCCAGCUUAACUGGAGAACGGCCGUGGAUACUGGCGGUCUCGAGGAAGGUAGGGGCAAGUGGAACUGUGCGUGGAGCGGUGAAAUGCGUUGAUAUGCACAGGAACUCCGGUGGCGAAGGCGACUUGCUGGACCUUUUCUGACGCUGAGGCGCGAAAGCCAGGGGAGCGAACGGGAUUAGAUACCCCGGUAGUCCUGGCCCUAAACGUUGAGAACUAGGUAGUAGACUUGACUUGGGUUUACUG
This 800-nucleotide ribosomal RNA is filed under the name uncultured bacterium. RNAcentral describes it as "bacterial SSU rRNA". It matches the Rfam family "Bacterial small subunit ribosomal RNA", at positions 8 to 845 of the family's 1533-position model. The record is from RNAcentral.